This 382-nucleotide ribosomal RNA is filed under the name uncultured bacterium. Its description in RNAcentral is "bacterial SSU rRNA". It matches the Rfam family "Bacterial small subunit ribosomal RNA", at positions 30 to 408 of the family's 1533-position model. The record is from RNAcentral.
AUUGAACGCUGGCGGCAGGCCUAACACAUGCAAGUCGAACGGUAGCACAGAGAGCUUGCUCUUGGGUGACGAGUGGCGGACGGGUGAGUAAUGUCUGGGAAACUGCCCGAUGGAGGGGGAUAACUACUGGAAACGGUAGCUAAUACCGCAUAACGUCGCAAGACCAAAGUGGGGGACCUUCGGGCCUCACACCAUCGGAUGUGCCCAGAUGGGAUUAGCUAGUAGGUGGGGUAAUGGCUCACCUAGGCGACGAUCCCUAGCUGGUCUGAGAGGAUGACCAGCCACACUGGAACUGAGACACGGUCCAGACUCCUACGGGAGGCAGCAGUGGGGAAUAUUGCACAAUGGGCGCAAGCCUGAUGCANCCAUGCCGCGUGUAUGA